UACGGAGGGUGCAAGCGUUGUCCGGAAUCACUGGGUGUAAAGGGUGUGUAGGCGGACUUGUAAGUCAGGGGUGAAAGCCACCGGCCUAACCGGUGAACUGCCCUUGAUACUGCAGGUCUUGAGUCCUGGAGGGGUCACUAGAAUUCGUGGUGUAGCGGUGAAAUGCGUAGAUAUCACGAGGAAUACCAGAGGCGAAGGCGGGUGACUGGACAGGUACUGACGCUGAGGCACGAAAGCGUGGGGAGCAAACAGG
This 253-nucleotide unclassified non-coding RNA is filed under the name uncultured Bacteroidota bacterium. Its description in RNAcentral is "uncultured Bacteroidetes bacterium contains 16S-23S intergenic spacer region". It matches the Rfam family "Bacterial small subunit ribosomal RNA", at positions 524 to 776 of the family's 1533-position model. Lineage: Bacteria; Pseudomonadati; Bacteroidota. The record is from RNAcentral.